CCCUUAGAUGUUCUGGGCCGCACGCGCGCUACACUGAUGCAUUCAACGAGUUUCUUCCUGGUCCGAGAGGAAUGGGUAACCUUUUGAAAGUGCAUUGUGAUAGGGAUAGACUAUUGCAAUUAUUGGUCUUCAACGAGGAAUUCCUAGUAGACGUAGUUCAUCAGACUGCAUCGAUUACGUCCCUGCCCUUUGUACACACCGCCCGUCGCUGCCCGGAACUGAGCCGUUUCGAGAAGACUGAGGAUUGCUGACUUGAGGCCUUCACGGGCUUCUAGUCGGUGAAAAUCAAUUUAAUCGCAGCGGCUUGAACCGGGCAAAAGUCGUAACA
This 328-nucleotide ribosomal RNA is filed under the name uncultured eukaryote. Its description in RNAcentral is "partial 18S ribosomal RNA". It matches the Rfam family "Eukaryotic small subunit ribosomal RNA", at positions 1470 to 1796 of the family's 1831-position model. The record is from RNAcentral.